GACGAACGCUGGCGGCGUGCUUAACACAUGCAAGUCGAGCGGGCUGACAGACUAGCUUAGCUAUAUGGAUGCUAGUGGCAAACGGGUGAGUAACGCGUAGGCGAACCUGCCCUUCGAGAGUAGGGGACAACUACGUUACGAAAGAGGUGCUAAUACCGAAUGACGUAUCCAUUACCGCAUGGAGAGGUAUUACCAAAGGCCGGGCUAAACCGGUUCACUUGAAGGAUGGGCCUGCGUCUGAUUAGCUAGUUGGUGGGUAACGGCUCACCAAGGCGACGAUCAGUAGCCGGUCUGAGAGGAUGAACGGCCACAUUGGGACUGAGACACGGCCCAA
This 334-nucleotide ribosomal RNA is filed under the name uncultured bacterium. RNAcentral describes it as "bacterial SSU rRNA". It matches the Rfam family "Bacterial small subunit ribosomal RNA", at positions 28 to 334 of the family's 1533-position model. The record is from RNAcentral.